RNAcentral lists this ribosomal RNA (2284 nucleotides) under Vibrio cholerae. RNAcentral's name for it is "bacterial LSU rRNA". It matches the Rfam family "Bacterial large subunit ribosomal RNA", at positions 1 to 2320 of the family's 2925-position model. The record is from RNAcentral. Lineage: Bacteria; Pseudomonadati; Pseudomonadota; Gammaproteobacteria; Vibrionales; Vibrionaceae.
GUUGUAUGGUUAAGUGACUAAGCGUACACGGUGGAUGCCUGGGCAGUCAGAGGCGAUGAAGGACGUACUAACUUGCGAUAAGCGCAGAUAAGGCAGUAAGAGCCGUUUGAGUCUGCGAUUUCCGAAUGGGGAAACCCAACUGCAUAAGCAGUUACUGUUAACUGAAUACAUAGGUUAACAGAGCAAACCGGGGGAACUGAAACAUCUAAGUACCCCGAGGAGAAGAAAUCAACCGAGAUUCCGGUAGUAGCGGCGAGCGAACCUGGAUUAGCCCUUAAGCACUCGGUGAAGUAGGUGAACAAGCUGGAAAGCUUGGCGAUACAGGGUGAUAGCCCCGUAACCGACGCUUCAUCGAGCGUGAAAUCGAGUAGGGCGGGACACGUGAUAUCCUGUCUGAAUAUGGGGGGACCAUCCUCCAAGGCUAAAUACUCCUGACUGACCGAUAGUGAACCAGUACCGUGAGGGAAAGGCGAAAAGAACCCCUGUGAGGGGAGUGAAAUAGAACCUGAAACCGUGUACGUACAAGCAGUAGGAGCACCUUCGUGGUGUGACUGCGUACCUUUUGUAUAAUGGGUCAGCGACUUAUAUUCAGUGGCAAGGUUAACCGUAUAGGGGAGCCGUAGCGAAAGCGAGUCUUAACUGGGCGCUCAGUCUCUGGAUAUAGACCCGAAACCGGGUGAUCUAGCCAUGGGCAGGUUGAAGGUUGAGUAACAUCAACUGGAGGACCGAACCGACUAAUGUUGAAAAAUUAGCGGAUGACUUGUGGCUAGGGGUGAAAGGCCAAUCAAACUCGGAGAUAGCUGGUUCUCCCCGAAAGCUAUUUAGGUAGCGCCUCGGACGAAUACUACUGGGGGUAGAGCACUGUUAAGGCUAGGGGGUCAUCCCGACUUACCAACCCUUUGCAAACUCCGAAUACCAGUAAGUACUAUCCGGGAGACACACGGCGGGUGCUAACGUCCGUCGUGGAGAGGGAAACAACCCAGACCGCCAGCUAAGGUCCCAAAGUAUUGCUAAGUGGGAAACGAUGUGGGAAGGCUCAGACAGCUAGGAUGUUGGCUUAGAAGCAGCCAUCAUUUAAAGAAAGCGUAAUAGCUCACUAGUCGAGUCGGCCUGCGCGGAAGAUGUAACGGGGCUAAGCAAUACACCGAAGCUGCGGCAAUGUCUUUUAGACAUUGGGUAGGGGAGCGUUCUGUAAGCCGUUGAAGGUGAAUCGUAAGGUUUGCUGGAGGUAUCAGAAGUGCGAAUGCUGACAUGAGUAACGACAAAGGGGGUGAAAAACCUCCUCGCCGGAAGACCAAGGGUUCCUGUCCAACGUUAAUCGGGGCAGGGUGAGUCGACCCCUAAGGUGAGGCCGAAAGGCGUAAUCGAUGGGAAACGGGUUAAUAUUCCCGUACUUCUGACUAUUGCGAUGGGGGGACGGAGAAGGCUAGGUGGGCCAGGCGACGGUUGUCCUGGUUCAAGUGCGUAGGCUUGAGAGUUAGGUAAAUCCGGCUCUCUCUAAGGCUGAGACACGACGUCGAGCUACUACGGUAGUGAAGUCAUUGAUGCCAUGCUUCCAGGAAAAGCCUCUAAGCUUCAGAUAGUCAGGAAUCGUACCCCAAACCGACACAGGUGGUCGGGUAGAGAAUACCAAGGCGCUUGAGAGAACUCGGGUGAAGGAACUAGGCAAAAUGGUACCGUAACUUCGGGAGAAGGUACGCUCUUGAUGGUGAAGUCCCUCGCGGAUGGAGCUGACGAGAGUCGCAGAUACCAGGUGGCUGCAACUGUUUAUUAAAAACACAGCACUGUGCAAAAUCGCAAGAUGACGUAUACGGUGUGACGCCUGCCCGGUGCCGGAAGGUUAAUUGAUGGGGUUAGCGCAAGCGAAGCUCUUGAUCGAAGCCCCGGUAAACGGCGGCCGUAACUAUAACGGUCCUAAGGUAGCGAAAUUCCUUGUCGGGUAAGUUCCGACCUGCACGAAUGGCGUAAUGAUGGCCACGCUGUCUCCACCCGAGACUCAGUGAAAUUGAAAUCGCUGUGAAGAUGCAGUGUACCCGCGGCUAGACGGAAAGACCCCGUGAACCUUUACUACAGCUUGGCACUGAACAUUGAACCUACAUGUGUAGGAUAGGUGGGAGGCUAUGAAGACGUGACGCCAGUUGCGUUGGAGCCGUCCUUGAAAUACCACCCUUGUAUGUUUGAUGUUCUAACUUAGACCCUUUAUCUGGGUUGAGGACAGUGCCUGGUGGGUAGUUUGACUGGGGCGGUCUCCUCCCAAAGAGUAACGGAGGAGCACGAAGGUGGG